Molecule: ribosomal RNA, 493 nt
Filed under: uncultured bacterium
Lineage: Bacteria
Description: bacterial SSU rRNA
Rfam family: Bacterial small subunit ribosomal RNA
Source: RNAcentral
GGAUGAACGCUAGCUACAGGCUUAACACAUGCAAGUCGAGGGGAAACGACAUCGAAAGCUUGCUUUUGGUGGGCGUCGACCGGCGCACGGGUGAGUAACGCGUAUCCAACCUGCCCACCACUUGGGGAUAACCUUGCGAAAGUAAGACUAAUACCCAAUGAUAUCCCACGAAGGCAUCGGAAUGGGAUUAAAGAUUUAUCGGUGAUGGAUGGGGAUGCGUCUGAUUAGCUUGUUGGCGGGUAACGGCCCACCAAGGCAACGAUCAGUAGGGGUUCUGAGAGGAAGGUCCCCCCACAUUGGAACUGAGACACGGACCAGACUCCUACGGGAGGCAGCAGUGAGGAAUAUUGGUCAAUGGGCGCAGGCCUGAACCAGCCAAGUCGCGUGAGGGAUGACGGUCCUACGGAUUGUAAACCUCUUUUGUCGGGGAGUAACGUGCGGGACGCGUCCCGUAUUGAGAGUACCCGAAGAAAAAGCAUCGGCUAACUCCGUG